UACGAAGGGUGCAAGCGUUACUCGGAAUUACUGGGCGUAAAGCGUGCGUAGGUGGUGAGUUAAGUCUGUCGUGAAAGCCCCGGGCUCAACCUGGGAAUGGCGAUGGAUACUGGCUCGCUAGAGUGCGGUAGAGGAGAGUGGAAUUCCCGGUGUAGCAGUGAAAUGCGUAGAGAUCGAGAGGAACAUCAGUUGCGAAGGCGGCUCUCUGGACCAGCACUGACACUGAGGCACGAAAGCGUGGGGAGCAAACAGG
RNAcentral lists this ribosomal RNA (253 nucleotides) under uncultured bacterium. Its description in RNAcentral is "partial 16S ribosomal RNA". It matches the Rfam family "Bacterial small subunit ribosomal RNA", at positions 524 to 776 of the family's 1533-position model. The record is from RNAcentral.